ACCGCAUGGUCCGGUGUGAAAAACUCCGGUGGUAUAAGAUGGACCCGCGUUGGAUUAGCUAGUUGGCAGGGUAACGGCCUACCAAGGCGACGAUCCAUAGCCGGCCUGAGAGGGUGAACGGCCACAUUGGGACUGAGACACGGCCCAGACUCCUACGGGAGGCAGCAGUGGGGAAUAUUGCACAAUGGGGGAAACCCUGAUGCAGCGACGCCGCGUGAAGGAAGAAGUAUCUCGGUAUGUAAACUUCUAUCAGCAGGGAAGAUAGUGACGGUACCUGACUAAGAAGCCCCGGCUAACUACGUGCCAGCAGCCGCGGUAAUACGUAGGGGGCAAGCGUUAUCCGGAUUUACUGGGUGUAAAGGGAGCGUAGACGGACUGGCAAGUCUGAUGUGAAAGGCGGGGGCUCAACCCCUGGACUGCAUUGGAAACUGUUAGUCUUGAGUGCCGGAGAGGUAAGCGGAAUUCCUAGUGUAGCGGUGAAAUGCGUAGAUAUUAGGAGGAACACCAGUGGCGAAGGCGGCUUACUGGACGGUAACUGACGUUGAGGCUCGAAAGCGUGGGGAGCAAACGGGAUUAGAUACCCUGGUAGUCCACGCCGUA
RNAcentral lists this ribosomal RNA (600 nucleotides) under uncultured bacterium. RNAcentral describes it as "bacterial SSU rRNA". It matches the Rfam family "Bacterial small subunit ribosomal RNA", at positions 185 to 804 of the family's 1533-position model. The record is from RNAcentral.